AACCCCCUGAUUCAUCCUCUCACUUUGGCCGGUCAGAGAUGAAAUCAGGGGGCGCAAACUGCCUUGCUGGCAGAAAGGAUUAUAGCAAAUGCGUACCCUAUUGCAAUACAGCCCGGCCAAUAAG
Molecule: non-coding RNA, 124 nt
Filed under: Escherichia coli
Lineage: Bacteria; Pseudomonadati; Pseudomonadota; Gammaproteobacteria; Enterobacterales; Enterobacteriaceae
Description: PK-repBA
Rfam family: Pseudoknot of the regulatory region of the repBA gene
Source: RNAcentral